CCUACGGGGUGCAGCAGUGAGGAAUCUUGGUCAAUGGACGAGAGUCUGAACCAGCCAAGUAGCGUGAAGGAUGACUGCCCUAUGGGUUGUAAACUUCUUUUAUAUGGGAAUAAAAUGUUCCACGUGUGGGAUUUUGUAUGUACCAUAUGAAUAAGGAUCGGCUAACUCCGUGCCAGCAGCCGCGUUAAUACGGAGGAUCCGAGCGUUAUCCGGAUUUAUUGGGUUUAAAGGGAGCGUAGGUGGAUUGUUAAGUCAGUUGUGAAAGUUUGCGGCUCAACCGUAAAAUUGCAGUUGAAACUGGCAGUCUUGAGUACAGUAGAGGUGGGCGGAAUUCGUGGUGUAGCGGUGAAAUGCUUAGAUAUCACGAAGAACUCCGAUUGCGAAGGCAGUUCACUGGACUGCAACUGACACUGAGGCUCGAAAGUGUGGGUAUCAAACAGGAUUAGAUACCCCUGUAGUC
This 460-nucleotide ribosomal RNA is filed under the name uncultured bacterium. Its description in RNAcentral is "partial 16S ribosomal RNA". It matches the Rfam family "Bacterial small subunit ribosomal RNA", at positions 338 to 795 of the family's 1533-position model. The record is from RNAcentral.